GACGAACGCUGGCGGCGUGCUUAACACAUGCAAGUCGUACGACAGCAUUCCUUUUGGGGGUGUUUGGAGUGGCGAACGGGUGAGUAACACGUGAGUAACCUGCCCUCUUCUUUGGGAUAACGUGCGGAAACGUGCGCUAAUACUGAAUAUUCUUAUUCUGCUGCAUGGUGGGGUGGGGAAAGGACUGUGGGGUCUUUAGGGGCUUUGUGGUUUGGUGGGGGAUGGGCUCGCGGCCUAUCAGCUUUGUUGGUGGGGUGAUGGCCUACCAAGGCGU
RNAcentral lists this ribosomal RNA (274 nucleotides) under uncultured Actinomycetes bacterium. RNAcentral describes it as "uncultured actinobacterium partial 16S ribosomal RNA". It matches the Rfam family "Bacterial small subunit ribosomal RNA", at positions 28 to 276 of the family's 1533-position model. The record is from RNAcentral. Lineage: Bacteria; Bacillati; Actinomycetota; Actinomycetes.